RNAcentral lists this ribosomal RNA (253 nucleotides) under uncultured bacterium. RNAcentral's name for it is "partial 16S ribosomal RNA". It matches the Rfam family "Bacterial small subunit ribosomal RNA", at positions 524 to 776 of the family's 1533-position model. The record is from RNAcentral.
UACGAAGGGGGCUAGCGUUGUGCGGAAUUACUGGGCGUCAAGCGCACGCAGGCGGAUGUAUAAGACAGGGGUGAAAUCCCGGGGGUCAACCUCGGAAUUGCCCUUGAUACUGUCUAUCUUGAGUCCGGGAGAGGUGAGUGGAAUUCCUAGUGUAGAGGUGACAUUCGUAGAUAUUAGGAAGAACACCAGUGGCGAAGGCGGCUCACUGGCCCGGUACUGACGCUCAUGUGCGAAAGCGUGGGGAGCAAACAGG